GCCGGCAUUCAGAAUUCAGAGAGAAAAGAGCAGUCAGUCCAGAACGGCAAAUAUUUCUUUACAUAAGUGUAUUUCUAUUUAUUAUCUGCACCGUUUAUGCAUACUCUUUGUCUAAAUCUGUCACUUUAAAAAUUGGUUUCAUAAUCUUCCAUUGAAGAAGACAAAAAAUCUAAGAAUUAUAAUAUAAAAGCGCUAUUUUUUGCGCGACGAUGGCUGCUCUGAUAAAACUUCGUCAUAUGCCUGUUGUCCAGAGAUGUGUUUGGAAUCAUUAUAACAAAUUAAAUCGUUGCAUCUCGACAUCAAAGAAGAACAGUGAAACUGCUACCACUGCAUGUGAAAAAGCUGAAGAUAAAAAUUGGGUUAGCUACGGAUUUGAUUACACGAGCAAA
Long non-coding RNA from Papilio xuthus (Asian swallowtail), 389 nucleotides. RefSeq lists it as uncharacterized. The record is from RefSeq and is a predicted model, not a curated record. NCBI's taxonomy places the organism in Eukaryota, Metazoa, Arthropoda, Insecta, Lepidoptera, Papilionidae. The transcript has 2 exons.